This 265-nucleotide signal recognition particle RNA is filed under the name Clostridia bacterium. RNAcentral describes it as "signal recognition particle sRNA large type". It matches the Rfam family "Bacterial large signal recognition particle RNA". Rfam says of the family: The signal recognition particle (SRP) is a universally conserved ribonucleoprotein involved in the co-translational targeting of proteins to membranes. Archaeal SRP consists of a 7S RNA and homologues of the eukaryotic SRP19 and SRP54 proteins. In most bacteria, the SRP consists of a 4.5S RNA and the Ffh protein (a homologue of the eukaryotic SRP54 protein). The record is from RNAcentral. Lineage: Bacteria; Bacillati; Bacillota; Clostridia.
CUGGGCUAGAUGGGGAGUUAGCGGUGCCCUGUAACUUGCAACCCGCUUAGCAAGGUCGAACAGUUGUCCUAGGCAUAAUUAUGUCGAAGAUGUGUGUAAAUUUUUAAUGUUGAAUUUAAGGUCUUAUGCAAUCAACCCCUUCGAACCAUGUCAGGUCCUGACGGAAGCAUCAUUAAGGAGAUCGGUUGAUGUGCCAUAAGGAAACUUUGAUGGAGUUGAAAAUUUAUGAGGCAGUCGGUGUAAUUAUGACAAAGCCUCCGCCCAG